Molecule: long non-coding RNA, 359 nt
Organism: Stegodyphus dumicola
Lineage: Eukaryota; Metazoa; Arthropoda; Arachnida; Araneae; Eresidae
Source: RefSeq, a predicted model, not a curated record
ACGAUUUUGAAAUUUCAUGAAAGGAAUCUGUUGAAAGCUUAUGCUUAAUAAACACUAGGCGCUUCAAGAGGUAGUCAGUCAUCUACGAUCGUUACAUUUGUGCCUCAUUGUUUGACAGAAAAGAAUGAGCUGGACCAGCGAUUCUCAACUGGUGGUACGCAAGACAAAAAUAGAUGGUACGCAAAGAAACAAGGUAUUUUUAACUAUUAAAUUUAAAAAUACUGUGAAGAAAAAGAACAAUUGAACUCUAACUGAUCGAACUCUAACUGAAGAUUUCAAAAAGUAAAACAAUCGUUAACAUUUGGCUGAACUGUAAAAAAGAAUUAAUAAGGCUAUUAAAUUUUUAUUGUCUUCUUGCA